AGUGAACGCUGGCGGUAGGCCUAACACAUGCAAGUCGAACGGCAGCACAGUAAGAGCUUGCUCUUACGGGUGGCGAGUGGCGGACGGGUGAGGAAUACAUCGGAAUCUACUUUUUCGUGGGGGAUAACGUAGGGAAACUUACGCUAAUACCGCAUACGACCUACGGGUGAAAGCAGGGGAUCUUCGGACCUUGCGCGAUUGAAUGAGCCGAUGUCGGAUUAGCUAGUUGGCGGGGUAAAGGCCCACCAAGGCGACGAUCCGUAGCUGGUCUGAGAGGAUGAUCGGCCACAUUGGGACUGAGACACGGCCCAAACUCCUACGGGAGGCAGCAGUAGGGAAUCUUCGGCAAUGGACGAAAGUCUGACCGAGCAACGCCGCGUGAGUGAAGAAGGUUGUCGGAUCGUAAAACUCGGUUGGUAGAGAAGAACGUUGGUGAGAGUGGAAAGCUCAUCAAGUGACGGUAACUACCCAGAAAGGGACGGCUAACUACGUG
This 493-nucleotide ribosomal RNA is filed under the name uncultured bacterium. Its description in RNAcentral is "partial 16S ribosomal RNA". It matches the Rfam family "Bacterial small subunit ribosomal RNA", at positions 29 to 507 of the family's 1533-position model. The record is from RNAcentral.